GAACGGUAACAUUUCUAGCUUGCUAGAAGAUGACGAGUGGCGGACGGGUGAGUAAUGCUUGGGAACUUGCCUUUGCGAGGGGGAUAACAGUUGGAAACGACUGCUAAUACCGCAUAAUGUCUUCGGACCAAACGGGGCUUUUAGCUCCGGCGCAAAGAGAGGCCCAAGUGAGAUUAGCUAGUUGGUAAGGUAACGGCUUACCAAGGCGACGAUCUCUAGCUGUUCUGAGAGGAAGAUCAGCCACACUGGGACUGAGACACGGCCCAGACUCCUACGGGAGGCAGCAGUGGGGAAUAUUGCACAAUGGGGGAAACCCUGAUGCAGCCAUGCCGCGUGUGUGAAGAAGGCCUUCGGGUUGUAAAGCACUUUCAGUUGUGAGGAAAAGUUAGUAGUUAAUACCUGCUAGCCGUGACGUUAACAACAGAAGAAGCACCGGCUAACUCCGUGCCAGCAGCCGCGGUAAUACGGAGGGUGCGAGCGUUAAUCGGAAUUACUGGGCGUAAAGCGCACGCAGGCGGUUUGUUAAGCUAGAUGUGAAAGCCCCGGGCUCAACCUGGGAUGGUCAUUUAGAACUGGCAGACUAGAGUCUUGGAGAGGGGAGUGGAAUUCCAGGUGUAGCGGUGAAAUGCGUAGAUAUCUGGAGGAACAUCAGUGGCGAAGGCGACUCCCUGGCCAAAGACUGACGCUCAUGUGCGAAAGUGUGGGUAGCGAACAGGAUUAGAUACCCUGGUAGUCCACACCGUAAACGCUGUCUACUAGCUGUGUGUGCCUUUA
RNAcentral lists this ribosomal RNA (774 nucleotides) under uncultured bacterium. RNAcentral's name for it is "bacterial SSU rRNA". It matches the Rfam family "Bacterial small subunit ribosomal RNA", at positions 64 to 834 of the family's 1533-position model. The record is from RNAcentral.